UCUAAUGUAACAGAGUUAUAUAGAGCCUUUUUGAGGGUUGGGAGAAAACUAUGAUUCACAUUCCCACCAAAAUGCACUGUCAGACAGAUACAAUAGAUUCCAGGAUUCUGGAAACUCACUCAGGGUUCCUUCGAACCCUAGAUUAAAAACUUUUUUCUUUUUUUUCCUGUGCUGUGGUUGGAACCCAGGGUUUCACACACGCUAGGCUCCUGCCCCAGGAUAUGGCCAAGGUCCAUUCUGUCUGGUGCUGAAGUACGUGUGCUUGACUAUCACCCCCAACAGGACAUGGAGUGUGGCCUGUAUCUGAUGAUCUGAGCAGCUACUUUGAAGACAAC
This is a long non-coding RNA of Chinchilla lanigera (long-tailed chinchilla), 335 nucleotides long. RefSeq lists it as uncharacterized. The record is from RefSeq and is a predicted model, not a curated record. NCBI's taxonomy places the organism in Eukaryota, Metazoa, Chordata, Mammalia, Rodentia, Chinchillidae. The transcript is spliced from 3 exons.